RNAcentral lists this non-coding RNA (27 nucleotides) under Mus musculus (house mouse). Lineage: Eukaryota; Metazoa; Chordata; Mammalia; Rodentia; Muridae. The record is from RNAcentral.
UAGAUCUUUUGAGUUGUCUUCCUGCCU